CGGUGCGUGCGGCGUCCGUUUCAGCGGGACGGGACAGCGAGAGGGAGCGCGAGCUUCUGUUCUUCUUUGCAGCAACUCUCUUGAUGGGAAAGCCUCUAGCAGUCAGUCCUAGGGUUGUCUCCUCCCUGAAGCCUUUACAAACUUUAGCAUUUUAGCAGGUAAACCCAAAUGUAAACACUUGCCUAAUUUUUAUUUUAAAUUUUCUUUCUAAACCUGUUGCUAUGGUUUGCCUUUGGCUUGUGUACAAAUGUCCAGUCUGUAAGCAGAAAACCUUUUAGUCACUGGAGGUAAAUAUCUCUUGAACAGUUCCAUAAAUAAUCCUCAUUUUAUGUUGGAGAUAAUGACCAGGUUGGGCUCUCUUGAGCUGUGUUUUGUCCUUCUCCUCAGCUUGCAGGAUGGCUUUGCUUCCUCAGCAGAGAGCAGCUCUUGCCAAAGGCUUGGCUGGACCUGUGCUUGCUUCUGCAUCAUGUAAUAUCUGUAUUGUGAAGGAUGUUAAAAGGGGAUAAGCUUGGUGUGUGAGGAGAAUUAUUUCUGAGCAUAGGCAUCUUUUUUAUCUAGUAUAUCAGAGCUAGGGUUAUGAUGAGGUACAGAAGCCAUCCCAGAACAAAUCCUAGUGUCAAGAAAUGCUGUCUAGGAAUGAGAAAGAGCCAACUUCACAUAACACUGCAGAAAACCUCCACUGGGGUCAUCCAGUCAGAGAGAGAGAGCUCAUUCCAUGAUUUCACAUCUUGUUCUUGGGCCUUAAAGUGCCAUCACUGCAACAAGCCCUGUGCAGAUGGGCAGAUUUCCUGAAGAGGGACCUAAGAACAUCCUGGGAGUACCAGAAGAAGGCUUACACCUGACGGCUGUAGGAGCAGAAUGGUCAAUUUUUUUUUCUUUUUGUUCAAAGUAGUAUUUGACAAUCUGUCUAGCCUGUGAAAAAGAUCUAAAUGACUCCAGCUGUCUUCUCAGAAUAGAUUCUGCAGAGCUCCAAUGAGAAUGGGUUAGCACAGGUAUAUGAGAGAGCUUUAUAACCAAGAUGGAUUGGAGAUUUCCAUGAAUAAUUGAUUGGCCAUACCUGCUUUCAAGAGGCAGCACCACCACAUCUCCUGAGGCCGGGAACCAGGAAAGAAAGAGACUAAAAAGAAGCUACACGUAGCACUGGAUCUUUAAAUGACCUUUGAUAUCUAGGAGACUACAGAAAUUAAUUCUGGUUUUGGAGACCAAAUGUUCUGAGCGUGUACAUAGAAGAUACUUUCAGUUGUUAAAAUGCUUAAAAGUUUUUGGUGGAAGGGGCCAUUCUCAGUGCUUUAAACAGCCAAAAUACCAGAACAGAUCCAGGGGCUCAGAACAAAACUUCAUCUGGUCUACAGUCUUGUUUUGGUCAUUGACUUACAGAGAAUGAAUGUCCUAGACCAGACACUCAUGAGAAUCACAUUUGGAAAUUCAGGCAUCCAGGACUUCAAACAUUCUCAGCAGAGGACUUGGAUUUAUGAGUCAUGUUCAUCUGAUCAAAUAUAUGAUUCAAACAUGAAUUUUUUAAAAAACCAAAGGAUACAGCUUGGCUUUACCUUUGGUUUCUGCUUUUAGAAGUUUUUCAGAUGGCUCUGCUGACCUUGGAAUUCCCUUUGUACAAGUUCAGCCCUGAAAAUGAAGUCAGAUGUGCAGUGCCCUGCCUGGCUGUGGUUGUAGUAAAAUUUUGUGAUGUUCUAAGGCAGGUUUAGUCAUCUUUGUCUAAGUAGUGCCCAGAGCUGUAUCUACUAUUUUAGAAUCAGACAUAAACAAGUGUAUUCUCUGUCUAUAAAUGGACAGGGGUAUUACAUGAACAACAGCUUGUGGUGAUUCACAUGGGAAUCAACUGGAUGUUUCUGCCAGAGUAAUUCACCUGGAGAGAUGACUGCUUCCAUUCACUUCCUUUCUUGGAAGCAGGCUGAGAAUAACAAACUGUUCCGAUAACAUCAGCCUGAUUCCAGUCAACAUAUUUCCUACUGAGAGGCAGGGCAGGCCCCACCCUGCUGCAUGACAGGCAGUAAUUGGGCCUAGAAAUGUGACUCAUAACUCUGACACUUUGCCUCGGAGUUAGGUGUCAGCAGCAGCCAGUUGUCACAAAGCCCUGUUUGAAACAGUGAUGCCAAACCUUCUCUCCAGCAGUUCAGUGUUCACCUCUCACUUCUUGGGGCUCUGAAAAGCCUCAGUCUCAGCUGUGUGUUUCUAUUAGAUGGCUGCAGGAUUUAAAAUCAGAGUUUCCCUCUGUCUUGCUGCUGUUUCUCUUGCUGCAAACUAAACAUUCAGUGCAUCCAGGGCACUUCAUGGUAGUCAGUGUGCCCACAAAGGGAGGACAGGCCUCAUUUUAGACCACCUUUAUUUGCUGAAGCAGACACUGCUGUAGCCUUAUCCUCUCUUCUUCCAGCUCUAUAAACACUAGGCCAUUAAAUGUUUAAUGGUUUUGGGUUUAUUCAAUGUUUAACUAUUUCAUGCUAAAUGGAAAAGUCAUGGAAAGGAAGAAAGGCACUGUCUAUCAAUCAUAUAAUUGCAGUAUUAAUAACAAGAAGCUGUGACUACAUGAUCUCAGCUUCUAACUUAGACAACAACAUUAGACAAAUAACUCUGGAUCUGUCUGGUUUAUUAUCUUGUCUCCAGCAAUAUCAAACAGCAGAAAUCUAGGGAAAAGGACAGGUAGAGAGAGACCUUUCUGAAAACAUGCUCUUCAUUUCCAGAAAAUGGUAGCUCAUGUCUUCCCCAGUUAGAGGUGGUAUCACAUCAUUCCCCAUUCAUCUCCAUUAUUGAGGCUAGUCAUUUUUUUUAGGCCAUGCAAACUCUUGGCAUGCAUAACAUUCUGUAGCAAGGGUUUCCAGUGCAGGCAUGGUAUUUUGGAGCCUGUCCCUUGUUUGUUUCAUCUGAGGAUUGUGCUGGCCCACAGCCGUAGGCUCAACCCACCCACAGUGACCUUCAUCCCCUACGAGCUGCACUGGAGUCCAAACCUGAACCAUGACUCUGAAAUUUACCUGUACAUGGAGAUGUGGGCAUGAGGGACUAAGGGGCUUGUCCAAGAUUACAUGGAGAACCACUGGAAAAAAAGGAAAACAUCUCAAGAGGACUCUGAUGAAAGCAUCCAAACUUUCCUUCAAAUGUCCUUCUCUCUGGCUUGGUAUCAGUCUUAGUGCUACAAUUUGGGCUUGCCAGAUAAUCUGCAGCAGCUUGCUGGAUCCCAGAGUGUCUGAUCUUCUCUUUUGAGCCCAUGGAGAACCAGGCUUCUGGCCAGCUAAGGAGAACAAUCCAGGCAGGCAGCCCUCUGGCCAAACUCCCUCUGGGUGUGCUAGCUUGGACAUUGAUAUUUCCCCGACACUAAGCUUUCCUCUUCAGCAUGAAUUGCUCAUUACUUGAAUUCCAUCAGGGAUUUCUUGUGUCAUGAAAGAGUGGAGAUUCUGCCUGAACACACUGAGCAGGACUGACUGCUUUCUGUGGAUGAAGCUGUUGAUGUGUGUGUGUGUGCCUGUAUCUGCAGGACAUAGAUGUCAGUGUUUGCCUCUCAAUGGUGCCUCUGUUCUACAGCCAUCUGUGGAUAAAGCUGCUAUUCUGCCAUGAACAAUGACUCAUACAGGAAAGUCUUGAAGAAUUAGGCAAGAAUUAGGCAAGUUCGUCCUGAGGACUAUUGAAGAUGAGGAUCCAAUCCCAUAAAUUCUUGGAAAAACUCAGCCUUAGUUUUCCCUUGACAGCUUUAAUCUUUAAAACCUGCUCUUGCAGAUACACAUUUGCCAACAGCAGGUUGGCAGCAAACUGUCUCUGUCAGAGGACAUCACACAUCCACUGCUUGCCUCUGAGCCCUGCUCACUGUGACCAGCUUCUCCUCACUGCAUUUUCCAAAGAGCAUCUUACUGGUGACUCUUCCGUCUGCUAUAUUCUCCUGAGCCCCCACAGAUUAUUGUCUCCAGUCCCUUUUCUUGUAGAGUCACUAUUCCUGACCCCCUGCAAGCUUCACCUGGACCUGGCGCUGCCCAAAAACUCUGUGAAGGCUGUAGGGACUAUCUGGGUAUCAAAAAAAUCACAACAAUCUCUGCUUCAAAUAUCUAGUCAGGUUUGGGUACUCAGGAAAGAGCUGAAAGGAAGGAAACAACCAGAGGAUUUUAUCAGGCAGUCUCCUGUAGGCAGAUUGAAAGCAGAAGGAAGAGUUUCUGAAGAUCAAUUGCGCUUCUCCAACUAGUGGGGAAGGUUCUAGUUUGUGGCACCACUGUAGAAAGAAAAGAUUGCAGGGUUCUUAUAUUGCAGAAAGGAAACUGUCUGAGGAACGAAGAUUAAAAUGAUCAAGAAAGUUUAAAACAAAUGGACAUAUCCUCAUAAUGUAAUUAUAAGGAAAUUCCAGGUGUGUAAACCAUACAUACAAAAAAUAAACACAAUAAACACAAGUUUUCAAUUGGACUAGAAUUUAAUUAGUAAUUUUAUUCUCAGAUUUUGAAGUUUCUCUAGGUAUCAGGUCUGUGCUUCUCGACCUUUCCAGUGAAUCGAUCAGUCCUCAAGCUGCAGAGUGCAACUUCCUUCCUGCUAGGUUAGUGAGUUCAGCUGGGUCAGUGAAGAAUGUGCAUUGAAAUCCCAUCCUCCUGCUCCAAGCAGGGCUAACUUCCAAGCUGGCUAAAGUCACUCCAGGGUCUUGACCACAUGAAUCCUGGAAAUCCCAUGGAGAUUCUAAAACCUCCUUGGGCAGCCUGUCCCAAGGCUGCAGCACUCUCCUGGUAGAUGAGGCGCUCCCUUUGUUGGGAGAGGAUUUUUCUGGCUGGCAACAUGAGCCCAUUGCCUCUUGUCCUUUCACUGUGCACUUGCAGGAAAAGCUUGGAUGUGUUGGAAUUUUAUCCCCCCCUUGCAGCAGCAUCUCUGCAGUGCGAUCCCCCAGCCUUCCCUAAAUUCCCACCUCCUCUCCUCACCCAGCACAGACUCCUGCUGGUCCCGGGGCUGUGCUGGAGCCUCUCCAGCGUGUCAGCAUCCCCGUCACAAUGGGCUGUGUGUGUGUGAGAGCUGCACAGGGUGCUGCAGAUGCAGCCUGCCCCGAGGCAGGCAGAGGGAGUGACCACAUCCCUGCACUUGCUGACCACUUGCUGAUGCAGUCCCGUGACUGGUGGGUGUUGCUGCUGCAGGGGAGCACUGCUGACACAGGUCCAGCUGGUUUUCCACCAGAAUCCCAAGGCCUUCACUGCAGGGCUGCACUCUGCAGUCAGUCCCCACUCUGUCCGAAUGCAUGGAGUUGUUUUGUCACAGGUUAAAAAGAUAAAGAGGUUGUAUUUAUCACAGAGCAAAUAUAUGAGGUGAAUUAAACCAAAUUUAUCAUGGGCUUGGAGGGUCAAACCCUGAGUCCUCUUGUGCUGAUGCUAAUACAAGUACAGAUCAAGAGUGGCACAUGGGAGCAGCAUUUCAACCUGAAAAUUGGGGUUUUCUGCAGAAAGUUCUUAUGUCAGUCACAGAUUUAAGCAAGGGGCUGUUAGCUCUCAGCACGAGUUACUCUUUUCCUACAGGCCUGAAAGAGAAUCUUGUAGGGCCCUGGAAUGAAUCCCACUUCUCUCCAUUCCCCCAGGACCUCAAAGGAGGAGCAGGCACCAUGCCUAGAGGGGAUGAGCUCCGUGUGUGCAUGGUGUGGUUUUAAAUCAGCAUUUUAAUCCUCCCUUUGAUUAAAAACCCUCCUUUGCAGAUAGGCAAAGUUGCAAGAAUUAUCCAGGCCAACUAGCAAGAAUUAUCCUUCGGAUACAUUGAUAUGGGACACAGCUCCAUCUCCCUUAAUCAGCUACUUUCUUACUGUUCUAAAAUAAAGAGUCCUUUUUUAAUUUCCUAGUAGAGGAGAUAUUUAUAUUUCGUGUCACUUCCGGUUUGACUAAAUAAAAAAUAGUACAUUACUUGUUCUUAAAGAAAUAAAUAAAGUUCAUUUUAUAAACUUA
Long non-coding RNA from Melospiza melodia melodia, 5897 nucleotides. RefSeq lists it as uncharacterized. The record is from RefSeq and is a predicted model, not a curated record. The transcript has 2 exons. NCBI's taxonomy places the organism in Eukaryota, Metazoa, Chordata, Aves, Passeriformes, Passerellidae.